CCCAAAUUACAAACUCAAAUCCAACUACAUCAGAUCCACUAAGCCCAAAUAUUACAAACCCAAUACCUAAGUCCAUUACCUUAACCCACUAGCCUAAAACAACAAAAAAACAAACACAGAAACCCUAAGCGGCUAGCAGCAAACCAGCGCCGCAUGCCCCACGUCACAGCAACCUCGCCCACGUUCAGCAGCCUCCGUGCAUGCCACGCACGUCUUCUCGCCAAUAUCCACCUGCAAAAAAACCACGAACAGCAAGCGAGAGGCAAUAAUAGGAAAAAAUAUGACAAAAAUGUAAAAGUGGGUAGUUUUUGAGAGUUUUUUUUUUG
This 326-nucleotide long non-coding RNA is filed under the name Gossypium barbadense (sea-island cotton). RNAcentral describes it as "long non-coding RNA (GBAR_LNC017396)". The record is from RNAcentral. Lineage: Eukaryota; Viridiplantae; Streptophyta; Magnoliopsida; Malvales; Malvaceae.